This 328-nucleotide unclassified non-coding RNA is filed under the name soil metagenome. Its description in RNAcentral is "partial contains 5.8S ribosomal RNA, internal transcribed spacer 2, and large subunit ribosomal RNA". The stretch from base 1 to 120 matches the Rfam family "5.8S ribosomal RNA", at positions 35 to 154 of the family's 154-position model. The record is from RNAcentral.
GAUGAAGAACGCAGCGAAAUGCGAUAAGUAAUGUGAAUUGCAGAAUUCAGUGAAUCAUCGAAUCUUUGAACGCACAUUGCGCCCCUUGGUAUUCUGAGGGGCAUGCCUGUUCGAGCGUCAUUAUAACCCUCAAGCUCAGCUUGGUGUUGGGGCCUGCUGCACUGGCAGCCCUUAAAAUCAGUGGCGGCGCCAUCUGGCUCUAAGCGUAGUAAUUCUUCUCGCUAUGGAGUCCUGGUGGAUGCUUGCCAUCAACCCCCAAUUUUUCUAUGGUUGACCUCGGAUCAGGUAGGGAUACCCGCUGAACUUAAGCAUAUCAAUAAGCGGAGGA